CCCAAAAUUAAAACCCAAAGUCCAACCCCACCUUUACCCUUGUCGGUUUAGUUUGGCUUAUCCCAAACUCAAACCCCUUAAAACUGAUUUCCUCACUCUCCCCGUAAAAAAACCCCAUACCUCCCUCCUACCCCAUGAAAAACCCGAAACCCAAAACCCUUUUCUUCCUCUCUCAUAUCGUCGGAUACCGUCGGAUUUCCACCCUCCUGCCUCGUCGGAGUUUUGAAUUCGCUGGAGCCGUGUUGAACCAUCGAAACCCUGUUGAUGUUGUUGUUCUUCCAUUCACGUCUCCCCUGUUUGUCCUGCUCGACACUUCUCUCGCGUGACCUGGCGCCGCCUUGUUGUCGCCGGUGUUGCUGUCGUGUUGUUGUUAUUGCGGUGAUUCUUCGCCCCUCUGCUCGCGAUUCCUCUCUUUCAUCCUCGACGUUACUGCUGUACGUGGGUGCUACUGUGCACCGCUGCUUCUUGUGCGCAGGUUGUCGUUGCUGUUGCGGCUGGUGGUUCUCUCUCUGCCGCCACCGUUCUCCUCUCCUUCCUCUCUUGUUCGUGGUGGUGGUGAUUGUUGUAAUCGAUGCACCGCUUCUCUGUUCUUCGCUGCUCUUGAAGUAGAGGUAAUGACUACCUCUUUCUUUUCCACUUGAAAUUCUGAUUUCAUGUUUUGUAAAUUAAAACCAAGUUGCUUUUGUCUGUUGUUGUUGCUGCUGCUGCGUUGUUGCUGGAGCUUUGAAACCUCCCCCUCAACCCUUUGUGACUCUCUUCUUCGCUGCUCUACUUGAGUAGAGAGUGAAACAUUGUUGCAGGUUUGGUGUUGUAAGCUCAGGAUUCUGAAGUGAAGCAAGAUAAAUAUGUCGUCGUAGCUUAUGGAUUGAGUUUGUAUCUAGAUAGUUGAUUUAAGAAUAGUUAUUUAUUGUUCCUUUGUAUAUAAUAUUUGGGAAUCUAAUUGAGAUAAUUGUGUUAUUUUAA
This is a long non-coding RNA of Beta vulgaris subsp. vulgaris (sugar beet), 963 nucleotides long. RefSeq lists it as uncharacterized. The record is from RefSeq and is a predicted model, not a curated record. The transcript is spliced from 2 exons. NCBI's taxonomy places the organism in Eukaryota, Viridiplantae, Streptophyta, Magnoliopsida, Caryophyllales, Amaranthaceae.